UAGGGAAUCUUCCACAAUGGACGAAAGUCUGAUGGAGCAACGCCGCGUGAGUGAAGAAGGGUUUCGGCUCGUAAAACUCUGUUGUUAAAGAAGAACAUAUCUGAGAGUAACUGUUCAGGUAUUGACGGUAUUCAACCAGAAAGCCACGGCUAACUACGUGCCCG
This 164-nucleotide ribosomal RNA is filed under the name uncultured bacterium. RNAcentral's name for it is "partial 16S ribosomal RNA". It matches the Rfam family "Bacterial small subunit ribosomal RNA", at positions 355 to 511 of the family's 1533-position model. The record is from RNAcentral.